This 75-nucleotide transfer RNA is filed under the name Candidatus Altarchaeales archaeon. Its description in RNAcentral is "tRNA-Ile". It matches the Rfam family "tRNA". From Rfam's summary of the family: Transfer RNA (tRNA) molecules are approximately 80 nucleotides in length. Their secondary structure includes four short double-helical elements and three loops (D, anti-codon, and T loops). The record is from RNAcentral. Lineage: Archaea; Nanobdellati; Candidatus Altarchaeota; Candidatus Altarchaeia; Candidatus Altarchaeales.
GGUCCCAUGGCUCAGCCUGGUUAGAGCGUUCGACUGAUAAUCGAAAGGUCUCGAGUUCAAAUCUCGAUGGGACCA